RNAcentral lists this unclassified non-coding RNA (200 nucleotides) under soil metagenome. Its description in RNAcentral is "partial contains internal transcribed spacer 2 and large subunit ribosomal RNA". The record is from RNAcentral.
UGAAAUGCAGGUGCAGCUGGACAUUCUUCUGAGCUAUAAGCAUAUUUAUUUAGUCCCGUCAAACGGAUUAUUACUUUUGCUGCAGCUAACAUAAAGGGAGUCUGACCAUAUUGGCUGACUGAUGCAGGAUCUCACAAGGGUCGGCAACGAUUCUUGUAAAACUCGAUCUCAAAUCAAGUAAGACUAUCCGCUGAACUUAA